GACGAACGCUGGCGGCGUGCCUAAUACAUGCAAGUUGAGCGCUGAAGGUUGGUACUUGUACCCACUGGAUGAGCAGCGAACGGGUGAGUAACGCGUGGGGAAUCUGCCUUUGAGCGGGGGACAACAUUUGGAAACGAAUGCUAAUACCGCAUAAAAACUUUAAACACAAGUUUUAAGUUUGAAAGAUGCAAUUGCAUCACUCAAAGAUGAUCCCGCGUUGUAUUAGCUAGUUGGUGAGGUAAAGGCUCACCAAGGCGAUGAUACAUAGCCGACCUGAGAGGGUGAUCGGCCACAUUGGGACUGAGACACGGCCCAAACUCCUACGGGAGGCAGCAGUAGGGAAUCUUCGGCAAUGGACGAAAGUCUGACCGAGCAACGCCGCGUGAGUGAAGAAGGUUUUCGGAUCGUAAAACUCUGUUGGUAGAGAAGAACGUUGGUGAGAGUGGAAAGCUCAUCAAGUGACGGUAACUACCCAGAAAGGGACGGCUAACUACGUG
Molecule: ribosomal RNA, 497 nt
Filed under: uncultured bacterium
Lineage: Bacteria
Description: partial 16S ribosomal RNA
Rfam family: Bacterial small subunit ribosomal RNA
Source: RNAcentral